CUUGCUUCUGGAUAUCUUAGUGGCGGACGGGCGAGUAACGCGUGAGCAACCUGGCCUUCAGAGUGGAACAACGUCUGGAAACGGGCGCUAAUACCGCAUAAUACAAGAGAGUCGCAUGGCUUUUUGUCAAAGGAGAAAUCCGCUGAAGGAUGGGCUCGCGUCCGAUUAGCUAGAUGGGGUGGUAACGGCACACCAUGGCGACGAUCGGUAGCCGAACUGAGAGGUUGAUCGGCCGCAUUGGGACUGAGACACGGCCCAGACUCC
RNAcentral lists this ribosomal RNA (264 nucleotides) under uncultured bacterium. RNAcentral's name for it is "partial 16S ribosomal RNA". It matches the Rfam family "Bacterial small subunit ribosomal RNA", at positions 75 to 339 of the family's 1533-position model. RNAcentral also lists the same sequence under 1 other name. The record is from RNAcentral.